GGGGAUGUAGCUCAGUUGUAGAGUAUUUGCCUAAUAUGCAUAAGGCCCUGGGUUCAAUAUCCAGCACCACCA
Molecule: transfer RNA, 72 nt
Filed under: Ictidomys tridecemlineatus (thirteen-lined ground squirrel)
Lineage: Eukaryota; Metazoa; Chordata; Mammalia; Rodentia; Sciuridae
Description: Spermophilus tridecemlineatus (thirteen-lined ground squirrel) tRNA
Rfam family: tRNA
About the family: Transfer RNA (tRNA) molecules are approximately 80 nucleotides in length.
Source: Rfam by way of RNAcentral